This 1310-nucleotide ribosomal RNA is filed under the name Turanogryllus eous. RNAcentral's name for it is "16S ribosomal RNA". The stretch from base 855 to 1245 matches the Rfam family "Bacterial large subunit ribosomal RNA", at positions 2049 to 2651 of the family's 2925-position model. Lineage: Eukaryota; Metazoa; Arthropoda; Insecta; Orthoptera; Gryllidae. The record is from RNAcentral.
UUUAUUAAUAGUAUUAUUAUAAGUAAUUGUAUUAAUUAAAGUAUUUAUAUUUUGUUAAUUUUAGUAUUGAUUUAGAAUUUAUGUUGUUUAUUAUAGUUGAACUUUACAGUGAUGGAUUUAUGAAAUAAUUGAAAUAUUUAUUUUUGAGUAGAAGAGUAUUUGUACCUUUUGUAUCAGGAUUUAUUAAAUAUUAUGAAUUUAUUUUCUUUUCUCGAAUUGAGAAGAGUUACUUAUUAAUGAUUUAUAUUGUAUCAUAAAUAUAUUUAAUUGAUAAGUAGUGAUGAAAUGUUAUUCGUUUUUUAAGAUAUCUAGUUUCUCAAGAUAGGAAUUGAAUUUCGGUGUUGUGUUUUAGUAUUGAUAUUUAUAUAUAUAUAUAUAUUAUUAUUAUAUUAUUUGUGAUGCUAAGUAUUUUGGGGAUAAGCUUGGAAUAUUUGAUAUAAAUGGUAGGGGUUGUUGUGCUAUAUGAGCUUUUUAAUGGUUAUUAUUUAUGAGUUUGUUAAAAUUCGUUGUUAUGUAAUUUUUUAUAUAAAUAUGUAUUAUGAUGGUAUUGAGAUUAUAAAUAUAAUAGUUAUAUUUAUGUAAUAAUGAUGGAAUUAGUAAAUGGAGUUGUUUAUUAUUAUUAAUUAAGAGAUUAUUAAUGUCAAGGAAUUAGGCAAGAAUUAUUGUUCGCCUGUUUAUCAAAAACAUGUCUUUUUGUAUUGAUUUAAAGUCGUGCCUGCCCAAUGAGGUUAUUUAAUGGCCGCGGUAUUUUGACCGUGCAAAGGUAGCAUAAUCAUUAGUCUUUUAAUUGUGGGCUGGAAUGAAUGGUUUGACGAAACAAUAACUGUCUCGGUGUUAUAUAUUGAAUUUUACAUUUAAGUUAAAAGGCUUAAAUGAUGAUAAGGGACGAGAAGACCCUAUAGAUCUUUAUUUAAAGUAUUAAUAUUUAUUGUUUGGUGGUUUAAGAUUUUAUUAAUGAUUUAUUUUUGGUUGGGGUGACAAGAGAAAAUAUUAACUUCUUUAUUAUGAAACUAUGAUUAUUGGUUAAUUGAUCCUUUAUUAUGGAAUUAAGAUAAAGAUACCUUAGGGAUAACAGCGUAAUUCUAUUGGAGAGUUCUUAUCGAUAAUGGAGAUUGCGACCUCGAUGUUGGAUUAAGAUUAUAACUGGGUGCAGAAGCUUAGUUUGUUGGUCUGUUCGACCAUUAAAAUCUUACAUGAUCUGAGUUCAAACCGGUGUAAGCCAGGUUGGUUUCUAUCUUUAUUGAUUUAUGAAUAUAUUUUAGUACGAAAGGAUUAAAUAUAUUAAAUAGUUUAUGUUUUUAGAAUAUUAU